AUGAAGGGCCAGGAGGGCAUACCGGUCGAGACUCAUCAGUUAUUGAAAGACGUAGGGCAGGAUCUGACCGAUAAUCAGCUCCUGAAGGUGGCCGAAAAGCUGGGAAAGGAGUGGAAGCCGGCGGCCAUCUACCUGGGGCUGAAGCCCAAAGAUCUGGACGACAUCAUGGCAAAACAUAGAACUUUGCUUCAUGAUAAAUACAAGAUGUUGGUGCUGUGGAAGCACCGAAGACCACCAGGAAAGGCCAAAGCACAGGACCUGCUGAGAGGCCUGGAAAAACUGAAGGACCUACCGGUCGAGGCUCGUCAGUUAUUGAAAGAACUUGUGCAGAAUCGUUCUAAACCUGGUAAGAAGAAGAAGCCGUCAUGCAGUAGCGCACAGGGGAGCCAUCCUGGUGAGCUGUCCUCGUCUCCGCCCCUCAAAAAGCCUGCUAGUGACGGGAUGCUGGGACCUGUACAGAAUCGAUCUAAACCUGUUAAGAAGAAGCUGUCAUGCAGUAGCGGACAGGGGAGCCUUCCUGGUGAGCUGUCCUCAUCUCUGCCCCUCAAAAUGCCGGCUAGUGACGGGAUGCUGGGAAAUUUAUCCGACCCGACGGUGGGAAAGCCAAGAAAAUCAAAAAGAGGGGAGCUUCAAGGGAUCCAUUCUGAAUUUGUGAAGAAAGUUAAAAUCUCAGUUAUCAGAGGUCUCCUGGGUGACCUUUGGCAGCAGAAAGUGUUCAGUACUGAGGACAAAGACUCUGUGAUGGAGAAGGGGAAGAUCAAAACGGACAUAGCAAGGUGUCUGAUCGACAUGGUUAUCAGGAAAGGGGAGAAAGCAAGUCGGAUAAUGAUUGAUAGUAUGAAGAAGAGGGACCCUGACUUAUGCUCCACCCUGGGUCUGAUCGCUUCUCCUGCUGGUUUGGGAAAUAAAGGCGACAAGACGUUGGUAAAGCCAACGAAACAAAACAAAGGAAAUGGAGGCCAGAAAAGAAUUGGAAGUAAAUCAGAAGAAGUGGCCAAUAAGAAACCUUGCACGGUUGAUGUGUCAGAAAGCAUCACUGAAACCCGCUCCACAGGGCAGACUCUGACUGAAAAGGAGCUCAUGAAUGUGGCCAAAACGCUGGGAAAUGAGUGGGAGCAGAUUGCCAUCCAUCUGGAAAUAACGACCAAAGCUUUGGAGAACAUCAAGGCAGAACAUAGAUCUGUGGCCAUGCAGAAGCUGAACAUGUUGGUGCUGUGGACGCGCCGAAGACCACCAGGAGAGGCCACAGCUCAGGACCUGCUGAAAGGUCUGGAAGACCUGGAGGACCUACCGGUCGAGACUCGUCGGUUAUUGACAGACUUGAUGAAGUCGUAG
Molecule: long non-coding RNA, 1335 nt
Filed under: Gadus morhua (Atlantic cod)
Lineage: Eukaryota; Metazoa; Chordata; Actinopteri; Gadiformes; Gadidae
Description: lncRNA (ENSGMOG00000022444.1)
Source: RNAcentral